AGAUUUUACUCGUGGAUGGGAUGUACACGUUUGAAUAAACAUGAGAACAACACACAAGCAGGACUAUAUCUAGUAGAUGGUGUUCUGUUGCUGGCAGUGGGAUCUUAUUUUGCUUUUACCCAAUAUAAUUCAGCUUUUCAGUUGGUUACUUUCUUAUUUAUGUAAUCUAUCCGAUACAGUAUAGUCUACUGUAAUUUAGAGGGGUCAGAGAUAAUUGAAGCAGUUUGAUAGUGGCUGCAAAGCAUAGUAAAGAGAUAGGCUGUAUGACCUUGAAUAAAUCAGUUAACGUCUCCUUGCUUAUGUUUUUCCUUUGGUAAAAUGGGCAUUGUGUUAAUUGUUUAUGUGCGGAUAAAAUGAGAUCUAUAGAACAGUGCCUAGCCCAUAACAAAUAAUAAAUAUUAGUUGAUAGGUACCAUGGACUGGUGAUCGAUAUAUUUUUAAAAACUUUUUAUUACUUUUUUCUGAGUGUAUUCCAGAAUUUAAGACAUUGGAAUAAAGGAUUGCACUUACUUAUUUGAUUGGACUCUAAUAGAGUACAAGUUUCAUAAUGAAUGUGCUUGUGUUCUAAUUAAUUGAGUUUUCUAGAGAGCUGGUAGUUAGGUUUGAUAAGGGGGUUAAUUGUGGGACUUAAGGAUCAUUGUUUUUGAUAUCAUGAUAAUUCAGUUCUGAAGGUCUAGAAUAUUGAAUUAACUUUAUUCAGCAUGUUCUCUAAAAAUGGUGUUUUAAUUACAUUUUGAUGUGAGUGUGUUUUGAUGUCAUUUUCCUCUUUUCAAACUAAGAGCAGAUAAAAUCAAGUUAGGUAUUUUGGUUUGUUGCCUUCCAGUGAGUUGGUAUUAUUACACAUGGGAUCUCUAAUUUAGAAACCUGUCAAGUUACAAAAGUUCAUUUGUAAGUUGUUUUGAACUUGUAAUAUAUUUCCUCUUAUUAACUGUAUUUCCGAAGCAGGAUCAGGCACAGGGCACCCCCGCCCCCUCCCGAGCCUGUUCACCCUGAAAUAUAGAUACGCAGACCUAUAGUGCCAUGGGGUCUAUUCAUCACGUGAGAAAUUGCUGUGGGAAAAUGGAUUAUAAAUGACAACCAGGAUACAAGUUCACAUUCUUCUGUCCUCCCAACCCUUUCCCUAAGCUGGGUGACCCUAGCCUCAUCUGUAGCAUGGAUGAUUUAAAUGAGCCUCCAAAUUCCUUUUUUGCCGAGGUAGGCUUUCUGAUUUUGUGUAGCAGGACGUGUGAGUAGGAGGCUUUGGAAGCGGAGCAUAGGGUGGUUUCCAGGGUGCCAGGUGUAUGGGACUGAGCACAUUUUAGGUCUUGUGUAGCAGGAUCUUGGCCAUGGGUCCUCAUGAAAGCUGAGAGUUCCAGGCCCCGUCCGGGAUGGUGAAACCACCAGCAGCCUGGAGAUUAACGGGGUGGGCACAACUGGCAACUGUAUGCCGGGCAUUUAAGUCCAAGUGUUUGUAAGUAGGUUGCCUCUAGUGCCUCUCUUAAAUUUUUUUCUAGGAGAGUUAAAUGGAUAAGGGUCAGAAGUUUCAUCAGUUUUAAAGGCCCAGUUAUUAUAAUAAUAAUUAUUCGUUUUGCUUUUACUUCAGUUUUAUGUGAGCAUGCAUUUACAUUUGAUUCUGGUCAAAGCUUGUGUGUUCUUUAAAAUAAACAGUAUGUAAAGCAUUAAAGAUCCUUUGCACUUCACUCUGCAUUCUCUGUAAAAGGAUCUGAGUAGUUUAUAGACUCCAACAAGCUUUUGGUAAAGUACAUGUUUUUGAAUCAUGUUGAACAUGUAAAGAAAGACAGACUUGAGCUUGUUAAAAAAAUUAUUCCUGUCAAGUCCCAUGCAGCUCCGCAUGUCAAACAAGACUUGAAAAUGUUUUCCCCAAGUGGCCAUGUCUUAACAAUUUAUGUUCUUGAGGGAGUUCCUUGGAAGGAACUAAACUCUGGGAGGUCACAUUUUUCUUUCAAGUUUGAUUUCUAAAGUGAAAACGAACUUCUGUUUUUUAACUUGAACUUUGAAAAAAAUUCAAUGAAGAGCUUUUAGAACUGUGCAAUGAUUGUGUUAUGUGGAACUGGGCUUCCCCAUCUCUGCAGCCAGAAAUGAAUCUUGACAGUUUCCUUUGUAGCUAUAAAAAUGAAGAGAGAAAGAGAAGAAGAGGUAAAAAAAUGCUGAGUCUGGGAAACUGUUCUAGUGACUUAAAUCUUAGCUGCAUAAAUGUCUGUGUAUAUUAAGGGGGCAGGACCAAAUAACAAUAAUCCUUUUUUUCUAGUGAAAUAGUGUCUCUCCUGGGAAAUCACUUUGCAGAUUUCUCAGGCUUUCUCAUUGAAAACACAUGACUAGCCAAAAUUUAAUAUUUAGCAGAAUUAGGAAAUAUAUAGUUUUUACAGCAAAAUUCCAACCAAAGUGGCAUAUUUAGUUUAUUCUUAAUUAUUUGGGCUAAUAGAGAAGAGAUUCUAGGAAUAAUCUAGACAUAGUUUUACUAUACUAAGUCCUUGAAAAGGAAUAUAUUUCAUGUUUUGAGAGUCAUAAUGUAGCACUGUAAGUUGAGCCAUGGUGAAGAUCUGUUUCAGGAAGAAUUUGAAAGGCUUCUGAAUUACCUGUGAUGUCCCUUUGAUAUUUUUGUCGUAACCAUUUUGUAUUAGAAAUAGACCAUAUCACCUUUCAGGUGGCACUGGAGACCUAGACAUAGCUGAAGUAUCCUGUUAAUCUACUUUGGAUUUUUAUUUCCCUGGGUUAGAGAUAAUAAUUAAAUGGUUUAAUUUUUAAAUAUUGUUAAGUGGUGGAUGGUCAGAGGAAUACCUGUGAAGGGCAAAGAAAAUCACGAGGAGGCAGUGAUAAAAUUCUUUAUUGGCCAAGAGCACCUUGAGGUAAUGUAUUGUCCUCAGCAUUCAAGGAUGUAACUGCAGAGUUCCCAUUGUGGCUCAGUGGAAACAAAUCUGACUAGCAUCCAUGAGGAUGUGGGUUUGAUCCCUGGCCUUGCUCAGUGGGUUAAGGAUCUGCCAUUGCCGUGAGCUGUGGUGUAGGCUGCAGAUGUGGCUCGGAUCUGGCAUUGCUGUAGCUGUGGUGUGGACCAGCAGCUCCAGCUCUGUUUCAGCCCCUAGCCUGGGAACCUCCGUAUGCCGCACAUGUGGCCCCAAAAGCAAAAAAA
Molecule: long non-coding RNA, 3127 nt
Filed under: Sus scrofa (pig)
Lineage: Eukaryota; Metazoa; Chordata; Mammalia; Artiodactyla; Suidae
Description: lncRNA (ENSSSCG00000063357.1)
Source: RNAcentral